GGUCCCAUAGCUCAACUGGAUAGAGUAACGGAUUUCUACUCCGUGGGUUGCAGGUUCGAGAUCCUGCUGGGAUCGCCA
RNAcentral lists this transfer RNA (78 nucleotides) under Rhodopseudomonas sp. P2A-2r. Its description in RNAcentral is "tRNA-Arg". It matches the Rfam family "tRNA". From Rfam's summary of the family: Transfer RNA (tRNA) molecules are approximately 80 nucleotides in length. Their secondary structure includes four short double-helical elements and three loops (D, anti-codon, and T loops). Lineage: Bacteria; Pseudomonadati; Pseudomonadota; Alphaproteobacteria; Hyphomicrobiales; Nitrobacteraceae. The record is from RNAcentral.